CAGGGAAUAGUUUAAGUAAAAUAUUAAUUUUGGGGAUUAAUGAUGGAUAAAUUUCUUUCUCUGA
This 64-nucleotide transfer RNA is filed under the name Ruidocollaris convexipennis. RNAcentral's name for it is "tRNA-Pro". Lineage: Eukaryota; Metazoa; Arthropoda; Insecta; Orthoptera; Tettigoniidae. The record is from RNAcentral.